AGUGAACGCUGGCGGUAGGCCUAACACAUGCAAGUCGAACGGCAGCACAGUAAGAGCUUGCUCUUACGGGUGGCGAGUGGCGGACGGGUGAGGAAUACAUCGGAAUCUACUUUUUCGUGGGGGAUAACGUAGGGAAACUUACGCUAAUACCGCAUACGACCUACGGGUGAAAGCAGGGGAUCUUCGUACCUUGCGCGAUUGAAUGAGCCGAUGUCGGAUUAGCUAGUUGGCGGGGUAAAGGCCCACCAAGGCGACGAUCCGUAGCUGGUCUGAGAGGAUGAUCAGCCACACUGGAACUGAGACACGGUCCAGACUCCUACGGGAGGCAGCAUUGGGGAAUAUUGGACAAUGGGCGCAAGCCUGAUCCAGCCAUACCGCGUGGGUGAAGAAGGCCUUCGGGUUGUAAAGCCCUUUUGUUGGGAAAGAAAAGCAGCAGGUUAAUACCCCGCUGUUCUGACGGUACCCAAAGAAUAAGCACCGGCUAACUUCGUG
RNAcentral lists this ribosomal RNA (492 nucleotides) under uncultured bacterium. RNAcentral's name for it is "partial 16S ribosomal RNA". It matches the Rfam family "Bacterial small subunit ribosomal RNA", at positions 29 to 507 of the family's 1533-position model. The record is from RNAcentral.